This 636-nucleotide ribosomal RNA is filed under the name uncultured Thermocrinis sp. Its description in RNAcentral is "bacterial SSU rRNA". It matches the Rfam family "Bacterial small subunit ribosomal RNA", at positions 802 to 1435 of the family's 1533-position model. The record is from RNAcentral. Lineage: Bacteria; Pseudomonadati; Aquificota; Aquificia; Aquificales; Aquificaceae.
GUAAACCAUGGGUGCUAGGCGUCGUCCUCGUGGCGGUGCCGCAGCUAACGCGGUAAGCGCCCCGCCUGGGGAGUACGGGCGCAAGCCUGAAACUCAAAGGAAUUGGCGGGGGCCCGCACAACCGGUGGAGCGUCUGGUUCAAUUCGAUGCUAACCGAAAAACCUUACCCGGGCUUGACAUGGUGGGAAACCCUUGCGAAAGCGAGGGGUGCCGUCCUCUGGACGGAAUCCCACCACAGGUGGUGCAUGGCCGUCGUCAGCUCGUGUCGUGAGAUGUUGGGUUAAGUCCCGCAACGAGCGCAACCCCUGCCCCUAGUUGCUACCCCGAAUGGGGAGCACUCUAGGGGGACUGCCGGCGAUAAGCCGGAGGAAGGUGGGGAUGACGUCAGGUCAGUAUGCCCUUUAUGCUCGGGGCUACACAGGCGCUACAGUGGCCAGGACAAUGGGAUGCGACCCAGUAAUGGGGAGCAAAUCCCCCAAACCUGGUCAUGGUGCGGAUUGAGGGCUGAAACUCGCCCUCAUGAAGCCGGAAUCGGUAGUAAUGGCGGAUCAGCUAAGCCGCCGUGAAUACGUUCUCGGGCCUUGCACACACCGCCCGUCACGCCACGGAAGUCAGUCUUCCCGGAAGGCCCCAAGC